AGUGAACGCUGGCGGUAGGCCUAACACAUGCUAGUCGAACGGCAGCACAGGAGAGCUUGCUCUCUGGGUGGCGAGUGGCGGACGGGUGAGGAAUACAUCGGAAUCUACCUUUUCGUGGGGGAUAACGUAGGGAAACUUACGCUAAUACCGCAUACGACCUACGGGUGAAAGUGGGGGACCGCAAGGCCUCACGCGAUUAG
Molecule: ribosomal RNA, 200 nt
Filed under: uncultured bacterium
Lineage: Bacteria
Description: partial 16S ribosomal RNA
Rfam family: Bacterial small subunit ribosomal RNA
Source: RNAcentral